UGUACACACCGCCCGUCGCUACUACCGAUUGAAUGGCUCAGUGAGGCGUUCGGACUGGCUCAGGGAGGUUGGCAACGACCACCCCGAGCCGGAAAGUUCGUCAAACUCGGUCAUUUAGAGGAAGUAAAAGUCGUAACAAGGUUUCCGUAGGUGAACCUGCGGAAGGAUCAUUA
Molecule: ribosomal RNA, 173 nt
Filed under: uncultured Ascomycota
Lineage: Eukaryota; Fungi; Ascomycota
Description: partial 18S ribosomal RNA
Rfam family: Eukaryotic small subunit ribosomal RNA
Source: RNAcentral